UAAUGGACUUAGGCUUAUGGGGGAGGAACAAACUUUCCUGUACCCUCAAGGCUCUUCUGGCUGGUCUAAUCAUCAAAUAGACAUAAGACAGAUUAGCAGGA
This is a long non-coding RNA of Phyllostomus discolor (pale spear-nosed bat), 101 nucleotides long. RefSeq lists it as uncharacterized. The record is from RefSeq and is a predicted model, not a curated record. Lineage: Eukaryota; Metazoa; Chordata; Mammalia; Chiroptera; Phyllostomidae. The transcript is spliced from 3 exons.